RNAcentral lists this ribosomal RNA (311 nucleotides) under uncultured bacterium. Its description in RNAcentral is "bacterial SSU rRNA". It matches the Rfam family "Bacterial small subunit ribosomal RNA", at positions 28 to 334 of the family's 1533-position model. The record is from RNAcentral.
GACGAACGCUGGCGGCGUGCCUAAUACAUGCAAGUAGAACGCUGAGGACUGGUGCUUGCACUGGUCUAAGGAGUUGCGAGCGGGUGAGUAACGCGUGGAUAACCUGCCUCACACUGGGGGAUAACAGUUAGAAAUGACUGCUAAUACCGCAUAAGCGCACAGUGCCGCAUGGCAGUGUGUGAAAAACUCCGGUGGUGUGAGAUGGAUCCGCGUCUGAUUAGCCAGUUGGCGGGGUAACGGCCCACCAAAGCGACGAUCAGUAGCCGACCUGAGAGGGUGACCGGCCACAUUGGGACUGAGACACGGCCCAA